Molecule: microRNA precursor, 85 nt
Filed under: Megaselia scalaris
Lineage: Eukaryota; Metazoa; Arthropoda; Insecta; Diptera; Phoridae
Description: microRNA mir-75
Source: RNAcentral
CUCUUUCUUCACUUGAGGGCCGAAGACUUGAAAGCUUGUAUAAAGGUUAAAUACAAGCUCUCAAGUCUUCGGACCUCAAGUGAAG